Molecule: unclassified non-coding RNA, 378 nt
Filed under: uncultured bacterium
Lineage: Bacteria
Description: contains 16S-23S intergenic spacer region
Source: RNAcentral
UCCGGUUUGUCACCGGCAGUCACCUUAGAGUGCCCAACUGAAUGCUGGCAACUAAGAUCAAGGGUUGCGCUCGUUGCGGGACUUAACCCAACAUCUCACGACACGAGCUGACGACAGCCAUGCAGCACCUUCUCACCGGUUCUCUUGCGAGCACCCCUCCAUCUCUGGAAGGUUCCGGUGGAUUUAACCCAGGUAAGGUUCUUCGCGUUGCGUCGAAUUGAACCACAUGCUCCACCGCUUGUGCGGGCCCCCGUCAAUUCCUUUGAGUUUCAGCCUUGCGACUGUACUCCCCAGGCGGGGCACUUCAUGCGUUAGCGCCGGUACUCCAAGGGUCGCUCCCCGGAGCACCUAGUGCCCAUCGUUUACGGCGUGGACUAC